Molecule: ribosomal RNA, 253 nt
Filed under: uncultured archaeon
Lineage: Archaea
Description: partial 16S ribosomal RNA
Rfam family: Bacterial small subunit ribosomal RNA (bases 27-253)
Source: RNAcentral
AACCAGCACCUCAAGUGGUCAGGAUGAUUAUUGGGCCUAAAGCAUCCGUAGCCUGUUCUGUAGGUUUUCGGUUAAAUCUAUGCGCUCAACGUAUAGGCUGCCGAAAGUACUGCAGAACUAGGGAGUGGGAGAGGUAGACGGUACUCGGUAGGAAGGGGUAAAAUCCUUUGAUCUAUUGAUGAACACCAGUGGCGAAGGCGACUUUCUGGACAGAUACUGACGCUGAGACGCGAAAGCGUGGGGAGCAAACAGG